Molecule: ribosomal RNA, 253 nt
Filed under: uncultured bacterium
Lineage: Bacteria
Description: partial 16S ribosomal RNA
Rfam family: Bacterial small subunit ribosomal RNA
Source: RNAcentral
UACAGAGGGUGCGAGCGUUAAUCGGAAUUACUGGGCGUAAAGCGUGCGUAGACGGCUAUCUAAGUCGGGUGUGAAAGCCCCGGGCUCAACCUGGGAAUUGCAUUCGAGACUGAAUAGCUAGGGUACGGUAGAGGGAAGCGGAAUUUCCGGUGUAGCGGUGAAAUGCGUAGAUAUCAGGAGGAACACCGAUGGCGAAGGCAGCUCGCUGGGACGGUACUGACGCUGAGGCGCGAAAGCGUGGGGAGCAAACAGG